Molecule: ribosomal RNA, 253 nt
Filed under: uncultured bacterium
Lineage: Bacteria
Description: partial 16S ribosomal RNA
Rfam family: Bacterial small subunit ribosomal RNA
Source: RNAcentral
UACGAAGGGGGCUAGCGUUGUUCGGAAUUACUGGGCGUAAAGCGCACGUAGGCGGCUUUCUAAGUCAGGGGUGAAAUCCUGGAGCUCAACUCCAGAACUGCCUUUGAUACUGGGGAGCUCGAGUCCGGAAGAGGUGAGUGGAACUCCGAGUGUAGAGGUGAAAUUCGUAGAUAUUCGGAAGAACACCAGUGGCGAAGGCGGCUCACUGGUCCGGUACUGACGCUGAGGUGCGAAAGCGUGGGGAGCAAACAGG